CUCAAAACUGUCCCUCUGAAACGGAUAUUCCUUGCACUCAAACUUGUGUCUUCUGUCAGUAUGUAAAUAUUGUCUUCUUUUGGUCAGGACCUAAAAACUCUGGUUGUUUUUUUUAUUUGCAUUUCUCAUCUCUGGUAUUAAAGGCAUUAUAUAGGCACCCAGACAACUAAAAUUCAACAGAGUGGCCUUGGUGCAGUGGUCCUGUCAUUCUUGUCCUAGAAUGUAAAGCAUUGCUGUUUUGGAGACACGCUUAUGUUUACAUUGAAUGGGGUAAAACAACUUUGGUGGAUGUCUGACAGCCAUUAGAUCAGGGGUGCCUGAAAUGUAGAUCCCCA
Pelobates cultripes (western spadefoot toad) is the source of this 335-nucleotide non-coding RNA. The record is from the annotation of a GenBank genome assembly. NCBI's taxonomy places the organism in Eukaryota, Metazoa, Chordata, Amphibia, Anura, Pelobatidae.